Molecule: ribosomal RNA, 447 nt
Filed under: Fusarium ambrosium
Lineage: Eukaryota; Fungi; Ascomycota; Sordariomycetes; Hypocreales; Nectriaceae
Description: eukaryotic LSU rRNA
Rfam family: 5.8S ribosomal RNA (bases 75-228)
Source: RNAcentral
GGCCGCCCCCGCCAGAGGACCCCCUAACUCUGUUUCUAUAAUGUUUCUUCUGAGUAAACAAGCAAAUAAAUUAAAACUUUCAACAACGGAUCUCUUGGCUCUGGCAUCGAUGAAGAACGCAGCGAAAUGCGAUAAGUAAUGUGAAUUGCAGAAUUCAGUGAAUCAUCGAAUCUUUGAACGCACAUUGCGCCCGCCAGUAUUCUGGCGGGCAUGCCUGUUCGAGCGUCAUUACAACCCUCAGACCCCCGGGUCUGGCGUUGGGGAUCGGCGGAGCCCUCUGCGGGCACACGCCGUCCCCCAAAUACAGUGGCGGUCACGCCGCAGCUUCCAUUGCGUAGUAGCUAACACCUCGCAACUGGAGAGCGGCGCGGCCACGCCGUAAAACACCCAACUUCUGAAUGUUGACCUCGAAUCAGGUAGGAAUACCCGCUGAACUUAAGCAUAUCA